Molecule: non-coding RNA, 239 nt
Organism: Rattus norvegicus (Norway rat)
Lineage: Eukaryota; Metazoa; Chordata; Mammalia; Rodentia; Muridae
Source: Rfam
CCGUGCCUCCUGAUUGCUGAAUGUUCAUUCACCUGGACCGUCCAAUGACCUUCCUUCUGCUACUCCAUCAGCCUACAGACCUGGUACUUGGAUUUUUGUCCAUGGUGAUUCCUACCACCUUACUACUGAAGAAGACACCAUUCCAGUGGACCACUGUGACCCAAGAAGCAUUCAGCCAUCAUGAUGUGGCCUUUACCUCCACUCCUGUCUACUCUGCCCAGAUUCAGCACAGCCCUUUA